RNAcentral lists this ribosomal RNA (406 nucleotides) under uncultured bacterium. RNAcentral describes it as "bacterial SSU rRNA". It matches the Rfam family "Bacterial small subunit ribosomal RNA", at positions 355 to 753 of the family's 1533-position model. The record is from RNAcentral.
UAGGGAAUAUUGGACAAUGGGGGCAACCCUGAUCCAGCCAUGCCGCGUGAGUGAAGCAGGCCCUCGGGUUGUAAAGCUCUUUUGUCCGGAAAGAAAAGCAUUCGGUGAAUACCCGGAUGUUCUGACGGUACCGGAAGAAUAAGCACCGGCUAACUUCGUGCCAGCAGCCGCGGUAAUACGAAGGGUGCAAGCGUUACUCGGAAUUACUGGGCGUAAAGCGCUCGUAGGUGGUUGUUUAAGUCUGAUGUGAAAGCCCUGGGCCCAACCUGGGAAUGGCAUUGGAAACUGGGCAGCUAGAGUGCGGUAGAGGUAAGUUGAAUUCCCGGUGUAGCAGUGAAAUGCGUAGAGAUCGGGAGGAACAUCUGUGGCGAAGGCGACUGCCUGGACCAGCACUGACACUGAGGCA